GUAACCAGACUCCAGUAAGGACUCUGUAGGAAGCCUGACAGAGUGAGCCCUCAGCAGAUCGCGUGAGAUGAUGCACAUCCAACACGCUCCUUUGUUGUUCAGUUGGACAGGGCUGCUUUUCCAUUUCUAGCAAUGAUUUUUAAAAGCCAAAUGGGGGAAGAAAACAAUUGUUGGAAAAACAUUCCUUGUGCGGCAUGUUAGCGGGAGUUGGUUCAGAGCCAAAUGCAGGCGGACGGCUUGUGGACCAAGAGAAAGCUGAGCCUGCCUACUCAUUCCGUCAACCCUGCCACCUCCAGUGUCCACUGCAGGCAGGGGAGGAUGGAAGAGUGGCCCCGGCAUGCCUUGCUUACAGUUGCUCAGGGUGGAAGCUGUCUGAGCUUGCAGCCUCCUCCCGAGAGGUGUUAGGUAUCUCAAGCUGACUACAAACUUCUCUGUAACAGAGAAUAAAUAGCCUUGAACUCGAGCUUUGGAACCUCCCACUUCUUCCUCCUGAGUCACGGGAAUACAAGUGUGACCACCAUCCCCUGCUGUCCUCUUGCUUGCCAGACAAGCACUCCGCCAACAGCUCCAUCUCCAGCCCCAAACUUCUUUUAUUGUUUGUAUUUCCUGAAGACACACAUUCUCGGCAGCAUGUGAGGUCGGACAGAACUGGAACAUGAGAUCUGUCACCUGCAAAGUGUAGAAGGUUCUACUUGAUUCAGCUGUUUCCCGGCACCAAGUUUCCAACAACGAAAGCCGCCAUUUGUCUUGGCAGAGGAACUCUGAAAGUCUGCAUUCUGACAACUGUCAAAGUCCUUUGGAGAGGGAUCAGACGGAAAGCUGAAACAGGUGUUUAGCCAGUCCAGAUUUUCAAUCAAAUAAUUAUUCGAUCAGUUAUCUCACCACAGGAAGCUUUGGGUCUUGCAAAAGAUUAAAUCACCUCCUCUUCCUUUUCUCUUAUGUAGGAUGAAAAAAAACAAUAAAGGAAACUAAGCAUUGAA
This is an RNA transcript of Peromyscus maniculatus bairdii (prairie deer mouse), 980 nucleotides long. RefSeq lists it as uncharacterized. Lineage: Eukaryota; Metazoa; Chordata; Mammalia; Rodentia; Cricetidae. The record is from RefSeq and is a predicted model, not a curated record.